AGAUUGAACGCUAGCGGGAUGCUUUACACAUGCAAGUCGAACGGCAGCGCGGACUUCGGUCUGGCGGCGAGUGGCGAACGGGUGAGUAAUAUAUCGGAACGUGCCCAGUAGCGGGGGAUAACUACGCGAAAGCGUGGCUAAUACCGCAUACGCCCUACGGGGGAAAGGGGGGGAUCGCAAGACCUCUCACUAUUGGAGCGGCCGAUAUCAGAUUAGCUAGUUGGUGAGGUAAAGGCUCACCAAGGCGACGAUCUGUAGCUGGUUUGAGAGGACGACCAGCCACACUGGGACUGAGACACGGCCCAGACUCCUACGGGAGGCAGCAGUGGGGAAUUUGGACAAUGGGGGAAACCCUGAUCCAGCCAUCCCGCGUGUGCGAUGAAGGCCUUCGGGUUGGUAAAGCGUACUUUUGGCGAGGAAGAACGGACGUUGACUAAUAUUCAGCGUCACUGACGUACCGU
This 461-nucleotide ribosomal RNA is filed under the name uncultured soil bacterium. RNAcentral's name for it is "bacterial SSU rRNA". It matches the Rfam family "Bacterial small subunit ribosomal RNA", at positions 26 to 480 of the family's 1533-position model. The record is from RNAcentral.